This 325-nucleotide ribosomal RNA is filed under the name uncultured bacterium. RNAcentral describes it as "bacterial SSU rRNA". It matches the Rfam family "Bacterial small subunit ribosomal RNA", at positions 28 to 334 of the family's 1533-position model. The record is from RNAcentral.
GAUGAACGCUGGCGGCGUGCGUUAACACAUGCAAGUCGAACGAAGCACCUUGGAACGCGUCUUCGGACAAAUGAAUUGGUGACUUAGUGGCGGACGGGUGAGUAACGCGUGGGUAACCUGCCUCACACAGGGGGAUAACAGUUAGAAAUGACUGCUAAAACCGCAUAACAUGGCGAGACCGCAUGACCUUGCCAUCAAAUAUUUAUAGGUGUGAGAUGGGCCCGCGUCUGAUUAGCUAGUUGGUGGGGUAAUGGCCCACCAAGGCGACGAUCAGUAGCCGGCUUGAGAGAGUGAACGGCCACAUUGGGACUGAGACACGGCCCAA